AAAUAAAGUUCUUAAAGCAUAGCAAUUAGUCUAAACUGAUAUUAUAGAUAAAAACAUUAUUAAAUUCAGUAAAGGUGAUUAAAGUUUUUUGUUUUUGCUUUUUAAAGUACCGUGAGGGAAUAUUAUAAAUUAUAUUAAAGAAAAAAUUAAAUUUUGUACCUUUUGCAUCAUGGUUUAACUAGAUUUAAAAUUUUAAAUAAAAAUACUCGAAACCUAAAUGAGCUAUUUUUGAUCCAGUCUUAUAGGACUGAAGAAGUAAUUGUAGCAAAAAUUUUUCUAGAAUCAAAAAUAGAAAUGAAAUUUUAUUCGCAUUAGGUGAUAGCUAGUUCUUCUUUCAAGACAUAGAAGUGUUUUAGGUUAAUUUAAUUUAAUAAACUUUUAUUACUAAACUUAUUUUAACCUAACUAUAUUGUUGAGGAUAAGCUCAAGAAUUAUUUGUUAACUUUAACAUACUAAAUUUAUAUUUAAACUUAGGCCUGAAAAUAGUCAAAAUUAUAAAGAUUUUGUUAUAAUUUCAUUAAUUUAUAAAAAAUAUAAUUAAUUUGUUAAUAAAUGACGAAGAGAUCUCAUAUAUCAAAAAGUGAGUUAUAUAUAUGUUAAAAUGAGUAUUUACUAAAAUUAUUUCAACUAAAAUAAUAUAGUUUUAGAACUUAAUAAUUAAUUUUCCCAAAAAAUCGUAAAAAGGAACUCGGCAAUACAGCAUUCUGCCUGUUUAUCAAAAACAUGGCUUCACGAUCUUUUAAAAUAUGUGAAGUCGGACCUGCCCAGUGAAUUUUUUAAACGGCCGCGGUACUCUGACCGUGCAAAGGUAGCAUAAUCAUUUGCCUUAUAAUUGAAGGCUGGUAUGAAUGGUUUGACAAGAAUGCAACUGUCUCUUUACGACUAAGUAGAAUUUUAUUUUUGGAUGAAAAAGUCCCAAUAAAAUUAAAAGACAAGAAGACCCUAUCGAGCUUGAAAGAAAUUAACAAACAUAUAUAUGCUAAUCUGUAAAUCAAGUUGUUAAAAAUUUUGGUUGGGGCAACCGAGGAGUAGAUAAAGCCUCCUUUAUUAAAUAAAAACAUUACUAGUCUUGAUCCAAAAAUUUUGAUUAAAGGAAAUAGUUACCGUAGGGAUAACAGCAUUAUCUUUUUUGAGAGCUCUUAUCGAAAAAAAGGUUUGUGACCUCGAUGUUGGACCAGAAUAUCCUAAAGAUGCAGAAGUCUUUAAGGGUUGGUCUGUUCGACCAUUAAAAUUCUACGUGAUCUGAGUUCAGACCGGCGUGAGCCAGGUCAGUUUCUAUCUUUAAUUUUUUGAGUAUAUUUAGUACGAAAGGACCAAUAUACUACAUUAUAUGUAAUUUAUAUGUAAUUUUUCAAGAAAAAAUAUAAUAAAGCUAUAAUUAAAUUAU
RNAcentral lists this ribosomal RNA (1387 nucleotides) under Profundiconus teramachii. Its description in RNAcentral is "16S ribosomal RNA". The stretch from base 637 to 1387 matches the Rfam family "Archaeal large subunit ribosomal RNA", at positions 1423 to 2907 of the family's 2987-position model. The record is from RNAcentral. Lineage: Eukaryota; Metazoa; Mollusca; Gastropoda; Neogastropoda; Conidae.